UCCAGACUCCUACGGGAGGCAGCAGUGGGGAAUAUUGCACAAUGGGGGAAACCCUGAUGCAGCGACGCCGCGUGAGUGAAGAAGUAUUUCGGUAUGUAAAGCUCUAUCAGCAGGAACGAGACAAGACGGUACCUGACUAAGAAGCCCCGGCUAACUACGUGCCAGCAGCCGCGGUAAUAUGUAGGGGGCAAGCGUUAUCCGGAAUCACUGGGUGUAAAGGGAGCGUAGGCGGCUGGUCAAGUCUGAAGUGAAAGCCCGGGGCUUAACCCCGGAACGGCUUUGGAAACUGAGCAGCUAGAGUGCUGGAGAGGUAAGCGGAAUUCCUAGUGUAGCGGUGAAAUGCGUAGAUAUUAGGAGGAACACCAGUGGCGAAGGCGGCUUACUGGACAGUAACUGACGUUGAGGCUCGAAAGCGUGGGGAGCAAACAGGAUUAGAUACCCCCGUA
This 446-nucleotide ribosomal RNA is filed under the name uncultured bacterium. RNAcentral describes it as "bacterial SSU rRNA". It matches the Rfam family "Bacterial small subunit ribosomal RNA", at positions 330 to 792 of the family's 1533-position model. The record is from RNAcentral.